RNAcentral lists this ribosomal RNA (374 nucleotides) under Flavobacteriaceae bacterium. Its description in RNAcentral is "bacterial SSU rRNA". It matches the Rfam family "Bacterial small subunit ribosomal RNA", at positions 1 to 368 of the family's 1533-position model. Lineage: Bacteria; Pseudomonadati; Bacteroidota; Flavobacteriia; Flavobacteriales; Flavobacteriaceae. The record is from RNAcentral.
UUUUACAAUGAAGAGUUUGAUCCUGGCUCAGGAUGAACGCUAGCGGCAGGCCUUAUACAUGCAAGUCGAACGGUAACAUUGGUGCUUGCACCAGAUGACGAGUGGCGCACGGGUGCGUAACGCGUAUGCAACCUACCUUUUACAAGAGUAUAGCCCAGAGAAAUUUGGAUUAAUCCUCUAUAAUAUCAUUAAAUCACAUGUUUUUUUGAUUAAAGUUUUAACGGUAAAAGAUGGGCAUGCGUCUUAUUAGUUUGUAGGUGGGGUAACGGCUCACCUAGACUACGAUAAGUAGGGGCCCUGAGAGGGGGAUCCCCCACACUGGUACUGAGACACGGACCAGACUCCUACGGGAGGCAGCAGUAAGGAAUAUUGGA